Long non-coding RNA from Neofelis nebulosa (Clouded leopard), 519 nucleotides. RefSeq lists it as uncharacterized. The transcript has 3 exons. The record is from RefSeq and is a predicted model, not a curated record. Lineage: Eukaryota; Metazoa; Chordata; Mammalia; Carnivora; Felidae.
GAAAGCCCAUUCUAGUCAAAAUCUGAAGGCCUGAGAACCAGGUUAUAAGUCCCAGUCUGAGUUUGAAGAUCCAAGAACCAAGUGGCUGAAUGUCUAAGUACCAGAGAAUAUGGAUGUCUCAGCUCAAGCAGAGAGCAAAUUCACCCUUCCUCACCCUUUUUCCUUCCAUUCAGUCCUUCAGUGGACUGUAUGAGGACCCCUGCAUUGAGUGCUGGAACCUCUCUUCAGGAAACCUGGACUUCUACAAAGGCUUUCUCAUCCAUGGGAGACUGCCAAAAUUAGCGCUCUCUGGGUAGUCCCUAACCAUGGCCAAGAAGAGCUGAAACUGGUUCCAAGGCUCCUGUCAGUUCCACAGCUCUUAUUGAGGUCUGUCUGCCUACUACCUGAUGCACAGGAACAUAUUGGAAAACAAAGAUUAAACAGAAUUAUCAAGUAAGUCCUUUACUGAGAAUUUAAUUGUGAGCUUGCCAACCACGGUUUGAUUUUUCAUCAUCUUGUUCCAGGGUUAUAAACCUUUCA